Molecule: transfer RNA, 74 nt
Filed under: Aureispira sp. CCB-E
Lineage: Bacteria; Pseudomonadati; Bacteroidota; Saprospiria; Saprospirales; Saprospiraceae
Description: tRNA-Arg
Rfam family: tRNA
About the family: Transfer RNA (tRNA) molecules are approximately 80 nucleotides in length. Their secondary structure includes four short double-helical elements and three loops (D, anti-codon, and T loops). Further hydrogen bonds mediate the characteristic L-shaped molecular structure. tRNAs have two regions of fundamental functional importance: the anti-codon, which is responsible for specific mRNA codon recognition, and the 3' end, to which the tRNAs corresponding amino acid is attached (by aminoacyl-tRNA synthetases). tRNAs cope with the degeneracy of the genetic code in two manners: having more than one tRNA (with a specific anti-codon) for a particular amino acid; and 'wobble' base-pairing, i.e. permitting non-standard base-pairing at the 3rd anti-codon position.
Source: RNAcentral
GGUUCGAUAGCUCAGCUGGAUAGAGCAUCUGCCUUCUAAGCAGACGGUCGCAGGUUCGAAUCCUGCUCGAAUCA